GACGAACGCUGGCGGCGUGCUUAACACAUGCAAGUCGAACGGAGAUUAAGGAAUUAGUUUACUAAUACUUUAAUCUUAGUGGCGGACGGGUGAGUAACGCGUGGGUAACCUACCCUUAAAACCGGGACAACAGCUGGAAACGGCUGCUAAUACCGGAUAAUCUUCUAGUUCGGCAUCGAACUAGGAGGAAAGGUGGCCUCUGAAUAUGCUACCGAUUAAGGAUGGACCCGCGUCUGAUUAGCUAGUUGGUAGGGUAGUAGCCUACCAAGGCGACGAUCAGUAGCCGGCCUGAGAGGGUGACCGGCCACACUGGGACUGAGACACGGCCCAGACUCCUACGGGAGGCAGCAGUGGGAAAUCUUCCGCAAUGGGCGCAAGCCUGACGGAGCAACGCCGCGUGAAUGAAGAAGGCCUCGGUCGUAAGUUACUGUUGUAAGGAAGAAGUCUGUGCGUGUGAUAAUAGCAUACAGGUGACGGUACCGUUUUGUAGGAAGACUCCGGCGUAACUACGUGCCAGCAGCCG
Molecule: ribosomal RNA, 523 nt
Filed under: uncultured bacterium
Lineage: Bacteria
Description: bacterial SSU rRNA
Rfam family: Bacterial small subunit ribosomal RNA
Source: RNAcentral